AGAGUUUGAUCCUGGCUCAGGAUGAACGCUGGCGGCGUGCUUAACACAUGCAAGUCGAGCGGAAGCAAAGACACGGAAUUUUUCGGAAGGAAGUGUGUUAGCUUUAGCGGCGGACGGGUGAGUAACGCGUGGAUAACCUGCCUCAUACAGGGGGAUAACAGUUAGAAAUGACUGCUAAUACCGCAUAAGCACACGGGAGCGCAUGCUUCCGGGUGAAAAGCUCCGGCGGUAUGAGAUGGAUCCGCGUCUGAUUAGCUGGUUGGCGGGGUAACGGCCCACCAAGGCGACGAUCAGUAGCCGACCUGAGAGGGUGGCCGGCCACAUUGGGACUGAGACACGGCCCAAACUCCUACGGGAGGCAGCAGUGGGGAAUAUUGCACAAUGGGGGAAACCCUGAUGCAGCAACGCCGCGUGGGUGAAGAAGUAUUUCGGUAUGUAAAGCCCUAUCAGCAGGGAAGAGAAUGACGGUACCUGACUAAGAAGCCCCGGCUAACUACGUG
RNAcentral lists this ribosomal RNA (500 nucleotides) under uncultured Eubacteriales bacterium. RNAcentral's name for it is "bacterial SSU rRNA". It matches the Rfam family "Bacterial small subunit ribosomal RNA", at positions 8 to 507 of the family's 1533-position model. The record is from RNAcentral. Lineage: Bacteria; Bacillati; Bacillota; Clostridia; Eubacteriales.